AAGUGUCUGCCUUAUCAACUGUCCAUGGUAGUUUAUGUGCCUACGAUGGUUGUAACGGGUAACGGAGAAUAAGGGUUCGACUCCGGAGAGGGAGCCUGAGAAACGGCUACCACAUCCAAGCAAGGCAGCAGGCGCGCAAAUUACCCACUCUCGGCAUGAGCAGGUAGUGACGAAAAAUAACGAGACCGUUCUCUAUGAGGCCGGUUAUCGGAAUGGGUACAAUUUAAACCCGUUAACGAGCAUCUAUGAGAGGGCAAGUCUGGUGCCAGCAGCCGCGGUAAUUCCAGCUCUCAAACUGUAUAUCGUCAUUGCUGCGGUUAAAAAGCUCGUAGUUGGAUCUGCGCCUCAGGACUCGGUCCGCCCAUUGGGUGAGAACUGGGCUCCUGGGCUAGUUUUGCUGGUUUUCCCUACGAUGCCUUCAUCGGUAGCAUAGGGUGGCUAGCGAGUUUACUUUGAAAAAAUUAGAGUGCUUCACGCGGCCUUAUGUCUGAAUACUCGUGCAAGGAAUAAUAGAAUAGGAUCUCGGCUCUAUUUUGUUGCUUUUCUGAUCUGAGAUAAUGGUAAAGAGGGACGGACGGGGGCAUUCGUAUCGCUGCGUGAGAGGUGUAUUUCUUGGACCGUAGCGAGACGUCCGACUGCGAAAGCAUUUGCCUAGAAUGUCUUCAUUAAUCAAGAACGAAAGUCAGAGGUUCGAAGGCGAACAGAUACC
RNAcentral lists this ribosomal RNA (709 nucleotides) under Hysterothylacium reliquens. RNAcentral's name for it is "SSU rRNA". It matches the Rfam family "Eukaryotic small subunit ribosomal RNA", at positions 301 to 1016 of the family's 1831-position model. The record is from RNAcentral. Lineage: Eukaryota; Metazoa; Nematoda; Chromadorea; Rhabditida; Raphidascarididae.